UUUAUGGAGAGUUUGAUCCUGGCUCAGGAUGAACGCUGGCGGCGUGCCUAAUACAUGCAAGUCGAGCGAACAGACGAGGAGCUUGCUCCUUUGAUGUUAGCGGCGGACGGGUGAGUAACACGUAGGUAACCUACCUAUAAGACUGGGAUAACUUCGGGAAACCGGAGCUAAUACCGGAUAAUAUUUCGAACCGCAUGGUUCGAUAGUGAAAGAUGGCUUUGCUAUCACUUAUAGAU
This 236-nucleotide ribosomal RNA is filed under the name Staphylococcus hominis. RNAcentral describes it as "partial 16S ribosomal RNA". It matches the Rfam family "Bacterial small subunit ribosomal RNA", at positions 1 to 226 of the family's 1533-position model. The record is from RNAcentral. Lineage: Bacteria; Bacillati; Bacillota; Bacilli; Caryophanales; Staphylococcaceae.